This 726-nucleotide ribosomal RNA is filed under the name uncultured bacterium. RNAcentral describes it as "bacterial SSU rRNA". It matches the Rfam family "Bacterial small subunit ribosomal RNA", at positions 771 to 1501 of the family's 1533-position model. The record is from RNAcentral.
AACAGGAUUAGAUACCCUGGUAGUCCAUGCCGUAAACGAUGUCUACUAGCCGUUGGGGCCUUUGAGGCUUUAGUGGCGCAGCUAACGCGAUAAGUAGACCGCCUGGGGAGUACGGUCGCAAGACUAAAACUCAAAUGAAUUGACGGGGACCCGCACAAGCGGUGGAUGAUGUGGUUUAAUUCGAUGCAACGCGAAAAACCUUACCUACCCUUGACAUGUCAAGAAUCUUGCAGAGAUGUGAGAGUGCUCGAAAGAGAACUUGAACACAGGUGCUGCAUGGCCGUCGUCAGCUCGUGUCGUGAGAUGUUGGGUUAAGUCCCGCAACGAGCGCAACCCUUGUCAUUAGUUGCUACGAAAGGGCACUCUAAUGAGACUGCCGGUGACAAACCGGAGGAAGGUGGGGAUGACGUCAGGUCCUCAUGGCCCUUAUGGGUAGGGCUACACACGUCAUACAAUGGCCGGUACAGAGGGCUGCCAACCCGCGAGGGGGAGCCAAUCCCAGAAAACCGGUCGUAGUCCGGAUCGCAGUCUGCAACUCGACUGCGUGAAGUCGGAAUCGCUAGUAAUCGCGGAUCAGCUUGCCGCGGUGAAUACGUUCCCGGGUCUUGUACACACCGCCCGUCACACCAUGGGAGCGGGUUCCGCCAGAAGUAGUUAGCCUAACCGCAAGGGGGGCGAUUACCACGGCGGGGUUCGUGACUGGGGUGAAGUCGUAACAAGGUAACC